GACGAACGCUGGCGGCGUGCUUAACACAUGCAAGUCGUACGGUAAGGCCUUUUCGGGGGUACACGAGUGGCGAAGGGGCGAGUAACACGGGAGUAACCAGUCCACAACCUCGGGAUAACGCUAGGAAACUGGUACUCAUAUUCGAUAAGUGCUCCUGAUGCAAGGUGGGGGUUGGAAAGCUACGGCGGUUGUGGAUGGCCUCGCGGCUUAUCCGCUUGUUGGUGGGGUAGUGGCCUACCAAGGCGGCGACGGGUAGCCGGCCUGAGAGGGUGACCGGCCACAUUGGGACUGAGAUACGGCCCAGACUCCUACGGGAGGCAGCAGUGGGGAAUAUUGCACAAUGGGCGCAAGCCUGAUGCAGCAACGCCGCGUGCGGGAUGACGGCCUUCGGGUUGUAAACCGCGUUCAGCAGGGACGAAGCUUUUUGUGACGGUACCUGCAGAAGAAGCACCGGCUAACUACGUG
Molecule: ribosomal RNA, 465 nt
Filed under: uncultured bacterium
Lineage: Bacteria
Description: partial 16S ribosomal RNA
Rfam family: Bacterial small subunit ribosomal RNA
Source: RNAcentral